This 460-nucleotide ribosomal RNA is filed under the name uncultured bacterium. RNAcentral's name for it is "partial 16S ribosomal RNA". It matches the Rfam family "Bacterial small subunit ribosomal RNA", at positions 338 to 795 of the family's 1533-position model. The record is from RNAcentral.
CCUACGGUCGGCAGCAGUGAGGAAUAUUGGUCAAUGGCCGGAAGGCUGAACCAGCCAAGCCGCGUGAGGGAGGAAGGCGCAGAGCGUCGCAGACCUCUUUUGCCGGGGGACAAAAGGCCGGACUCGUCCGGUCCUGAGGGUCCCCGGAGCAAAAGCAUCGGCUAACUCCGUGCCAGCAGCCGCGGUCAUACGGAGGAUCCGCGCGUUAUCCGGAUUUAUUGGGUGUACAGGGAGCGUAGAUGGGUUGUUAAGUCAGUUGUGAAAGUUUGCGGCUCAACCGUAAAAUUGCAAUUGAUAAUGGCAGUCUUGAGUACAGUUGAGGUAGGCGGAAUGCGUGGGGUAGCGGUGAAAUGCUUAGAUAUCACGAAGAACCCCGAUUGCGAAGGCAGCUUACUAAACUGUGACUGACAUUGAUGCUCGAAAGUGUGGGUAUCAAACAGGAUUAGAUACCCUAGUAGUC